UGGGGAAUAUUGGACAAUGGGGGCAACCCUGAUCCAGCAAUGCCGCGUGUGUGAAGAAGGCCUUCGGGUUGUAAAGCACUUUCAGUGGGGAGAAAGGGGCGGAUGUUAAUACCAUCUGCCAUUGAUGUUACCCACAGAAGAAGCACCGGCUAACUCUGUGCCAGCAGCCGCGGUAAUACAGAGGGUGCUAGCGUUAAUCGGAAUUACUGGGCGUAAAGGGUGUGUAGGUGGUUGUGUAAGUUAGAUGUGAAAUCCCCGGGCUCAACCUGGGAACUGCGUUUAAGACUGCAUAACUUGAGUACUGUAGAGGAUAGUGGAAUUUCCAGUGUAGCGGUGAAAUGCGUAGAUAUUGGAAGGAACACCAGUGGCGAAGGCGACUAUCUGGACAGAUACUGACACUGAGACACGAAAGCGUGGGGAGCAAACAGGAUUAGAUACCCCGGUAGUCC
Molecule: ribosomal RNA, 449 nt
Filed under: uncultured bacterium
Lineage: Bacteria
Description: bacterial SSU rRNA
Rfam family: Bacterial small subunit ribosomal RNA
Source: RNAcentral